Molecule: unclassified non-coding RNA, 283 nt
Filed under: Hevea brasiliensis (rubber tree)
Lineage: Eukaryota; Viridiplantae; Streptophyta; Magnoliopsida; Malpighiales; Euphorbiaceae
Source: RNAcentral
GGAUUGCCUAAGUCUUUAUAUUUAGCACUUUUGCCUUAUACUCGGUUGAUGUGGGACAAUAUACUUCUCUCACCAUGCAUGAACAUUUGGAGUGAAGUUUGCAAGAUUGAACACUUGCGGGUGGCCAAACAUCGAGACGAGUUGGCUCCGAUACUAUGAUAAGAAAAUGGAUUGAACCUAACUUACUCUUAAAAGCUAGCUUAAGGAGAGAGGAUUGCCCAAAUCUUUAUAAAGGGCACAUUACCUACAUACCUAAUCGAUGUGUGAUCCUUAACAAUAGUCG